Daphnia carinata is the source of this 1521-nucleotide long non-coding RNA. RefSeq lists it as uncharacterized. The record is from RefSeq and is a predicted model, not a curated record. NCBI's taxonomy places the organism in Eukaryota, Metazoa, Arthropoda, Branchiopoda, Diplostraca, Daphniidae. The transcript is spliced from 3 exons.
GUCUGCGAAGUCUUCAUCUCCCAAUGCUGUCGCGUCAUCAUCGUCGUUGCUGUUAUUGCCCUGGAUGCUGAUCGGUAGUUUUUGUUGUUUGGGAUUGCUGAGGUCGACUUGAGUUCUCGCCAACUGGAAAGAAUUGGCCAUAGAAGCCAACGCAGCCAUGAAUCCAUUGAUUUGGUGUGCGAGGUCGGAUUCGACGAAUGCAAAAGACGGCGACUCGUUGCUAAUGAAGAAUCGGCUGGAGCCGCAGCGGCCUGCUCCACUCCAAGCACGAGAGCCGCUGCUAACAUCGUCGCCAACAUAGCCAAUUUCAUACUGAAGAUGAUGACAAAUUAAGUGAACUUGCCUUUUUUUUUCGUAGCCGUAGCUUAUUUGAUAGAAAACAUACCUGAUAUGGAUGUCUUUUUUUUUAGAACUCCACAGGCGGUCAGGAGUGUACUAGCUUGAUUGAAGAGUUUGUUCACAGAUCGUCUCGUCACACAAGAGGAGAUGACUGCUAGAUUGGAUGAUGCCGUCCCCUUUUUAUACCCUGACGAUCGGGUACUUUGUGCUUGGCUGUUGCAUUGUCUGCAAGCAGAAUAUAGGCUGGUUUGGUACGACGGCGGCCGUUAGCUGCGCAUCGGACGUCAUCGGAGGACUGGCUGAUCCUGAAAUCCUCCGAGACACCAUCUCUCCCAUCUUUUUUUUUUUUUUUUCUGACAUUCGUUCCUCCACGUUCUCUAGUUUUUUAUUUAUUUUUUUUCGUACCUCAUGUUACUUGACACUGCCUUACAGUCCUUUGGUAGUCAGUGCAGCAUCAAGGAACAACACAAAACAAUUUUCUCUAGCUCUUGUUCCUCUCUCCGACUAGAAACAAGGUGGGUGGGAGUUUGGGAAUGCAGCAUAAAGUAUAUAUGGUGUCACGCUCCCUGGAUUGGACGGUAACCUCGCCAUGGGACGAUACGUCUCAAGACACUCAUUGCCACAUAGUGUCUGCGUGGGUUAUCAUUAAAGUUUGACGUUGAAUGCUUUUAUUGUCCUUUUUUAGUUUACAUCGGUAGUUACGUUUGGUAUUGUAUCAAUGCGUUGUGGAGUCAUUUGAAGAUUAAUGCUCCUCAUCAGACUAUAUUGCAAGAUAAUUGGGGUAAUUGGCCUUUAAAAAAAAUACUUGUCGAGACUAGUAAUCACACAACCUAAUUCAAAUCUAGAUUGGAUGAGCACCGUUCGUAGCCCUUCGGGACACUCUGUGUUACUCUUGUAAAAGUCGGUGGCUGAGCACCGUGUAAUGUACUAAUCCAAGUGAACCCAAUUGGUCAUUAGUGGAUGAAGAUAAAACGAUGGUAAUACAAGGCAGCUUGGAGCAAAAUGGUACCAGAGCCUCCAAUCAAAAGAAGCCAUCCAUUUCUUCGGCUUAAUAUUGGGCUUUCCUCUUGUGUCGGCUCAUACAGGUGCUGACGUAGACUUGCAUCUUGAUCAAUCGCCUCAGCAUAAUUACACGACACGAUAUGAAUUAUAAAAAUAUCUGCUGUUGCCUUUUGCCAUAUU